Molecule: small nucleolar RNA, 140 nt
Organism: Doryrhamphus excisus (bluestripe pipefish)
Lineage: Eukaryota; Metazoa; Chordata; Actinopteri; Syngnathiformes; Syngnathidae
Source: RefSeq, a predicted model, not a curated record
UGGCACUGUCUUUGAACCCGUCUGGUCUGACUCGUGACUUCCCGGGCCAAGCUACAGUGCUAAAGCAAAAGUAGGCUUGUUCAUAACUGGAGCGGCCUGGCACUUCCCCCAGGCCGCUCUUUUAAAAGCAAGCCACAGCC